UUGACUCGAGUAAUGAACAAGGAGCCAGGCUGCUGGUAUGAGUGACGUCAUUUCCCGAUCUGGCUUGACUAAAGAAUCCCCCAGUCAGAUCACUCAGUGUUCUUUGACCUACGUUUUUGUACGCUUUGUGAUAAUUGUUUUUUUACAUUUAACUUGAAAAUAAUUAUUUUACGAUGUCUCCCAUGAAGAUUGUUGCCUCAGAUAGUGCUGGAAAGAAAAGGAAGGAAGCCAUGGUCGUUGAAACUAAGAAAGAAAUUAUAGAUAAACAUAAGCGUAGUGUUAGAGUGACGGAAUUGGCGAAGAUUUACGGCCGUUUGACAUCGACGAUCUGCACUAUUCUGAAGAAGAAAGAAGAAAUUGAAACUUGAUGUGGCCAUAAGAGUUACCGUUACUGCCAAGCACCACCUAAAAUUCCUAAAAGAUGUUGAGAAGCUGUUGUUGGUGUGGAUUAACGAGAAGCCAUAAAAGGCAAUUCGGUGUCGGAAGCUAGGAUAAAGGGUUAGACCUCUCCCUAAGGCCUCACCUUGGAAGCAGUUUAACAGAGCCCAUGCAAAAGGAAUUAUAGCGUAUCCUAACUAAUGCACUUGAAAAAGAAACAUUGGGAAAAGAAUAUGAAGAGAUGCUUAAUAAGAAGCGAAAAAAGAAGAGAUAUAUAAAGGAAGGGAAAAGAAAAAGUUAAAAAAAAAAGGGAAAAAGUGGUUUGAAGAAGAGGAUUUUGAGCUCAGAUACAGAUUCUAGAACAGAAAAGUGACUUUGCUUAACUUGCGAAGAUGCCUAAAGUAACUCUGUUUAAGAAGAAUGAGUAUAAAAUGUGCGCAUAUGUUAAAUAUGUGAUAGGAAACAAUCUGGCAUUUGUUUGUAUUGAUUGAAAUUCUCAUGAAGACUGACUUUUAUGUUGAUUGGUUCAAUAAUUUUAUCUUAAUUGUACUAUAAAACACUUGACAUCAUUCAGUGUUCUUGUAUCAAGUAAUAAUAAUCAUAUGUUUUUAAAAAA
Stegodyphus dumicola is the source of this 994-nucleotide long non-coding RNA. The record is from RefSeq and is a predicted model, not a curated record. Lineage: Eukaryota; Metazoa; Arthropoda; Arachnida; Araneae; Eresidae.